UUAAACUGAAGAGUUUGAUCAUGGCUCAGAUUGAACGCUGGCGGCAGGCUUAACACAUGCAAGUCGAGCGGAAACGAUGAUAGCUUGCUAUCAGGCGUCGAGCGGCGGACGGGUGAGUAAUACUUAGGAAUCUGCCCAGUAGUGGGGGAUAGCUCGGGGAAACUCGAAUUAAUACCGCAUACACCCUACGGGGAAAAGGGGGCGCUUGCGCUCUCGCUAUUGGAUGAGCCUAAGUCGGAUUAGCUAGUUGGUGGGGUAAAGGCCUACCAAGGCGACGAUCUGUAGCUGGUCUGAGAGGAUGAUCAGCCACACCGGGACUGAGACACGGCCCGGACUCCUACGGGAGGCAGCAGUGGGGAAUAUUGGACAAUGGGGGGAACCCUGAUCCAGCCAUGCCGCGUGUGUGAAGAAGGCCUUUUGGUUGUAAAGCACUUUAAGCAGUGAAGAAGACUCUAUGGUUAAUACCCAUAGACGAUGACAUUAGCUGCAGAAUAAGCACCGGCUAACUCUGUGCCAGCAGCCGCGGUAAUACAGAGGGUGCAAGCGUUAAUCGGAAUUACUGGGCGUAAAGCGAGCGUAGGUGGCUUAAUAAGUCAGAUGUGAAAUCCCCGGGCUUAACCUGGGAACUGCAUCUGAUACUGUUAGGCUAGAGUAGGUGAGAGGGAGGUAGAAUUUCAGGUGUAGCGGUGAAAUGCGUAGAGAUCUGAAGGAAUACCGAUGGCGAAGGCAGCCUCCUGGCAUCAUACUGACACUGAGGUUCGAAAGCGUGGGUAGCAAACAGGAUUAGAUACCCUGGUAGUCCACGCCGUAAACGAUGUCUACUAGUCGUUGGGGAACUUGAUUCCUUAGUGACGCAGCUAACGCAAUAAGUAGACCGCCUGGGGAGUACGGCCGCAAGGUUAAAACUCAAAUGAAUUGACGGGGGCCCGCACAAGCGGUGGAGCAUGUGGUUUAAUUCGAUGCAACGCGAAGAACCUUACCUGGUCUUGACAUAUCUAGAAUCCUGCAGAGAUGCGGGAGUGCCUUCGGGAAUUAGAAUACAGGUGCUGCAUGGCUGUCGUCAGCUCGUGUCGUGAGAUGUUGGGUUAAGUCCCGCAACGAGCGCAACCCUUUUCCUUAGUUACCAGCGGUUUGGCCGGGGACUCUAAGGAUACUGCCAGUGACAAACUGGAGGAAGGCGGGGACGACGUCAAGUCAUCAUGGCCCUUACGACCAGGGCUACACACGUGCUACAAUGGUAGGUACAGAGGGCUGCUACACAGCGAUGUGAUGCGAAUCUCAAAAAGCCUAUCGUAGUCCAGAUUGGAGUCUGCAACUCGACUCCAUGAAGUCGGAAUCGCUAGUAAUCGCGGAUCAGAAUGCCGCGGUGAAUACGUUCCCGGGCCUUGUACACACCGCCCGUCACACCAUGGGAGUUGAUUGCACCAGAAGUGGGUAGCCUAACUUUUAGAGGGCGCUCACCACGGUGUGGUCGAUGACUGGGGUGAAGUCGUAACAAGGUAGCCGUAGGGGAACCUGCGGCUGGAUCACCUCCUUA
Molecule: ribosomal RNA, 1537 nt
Filed under: Psychrobacter sp. PRwf-1
Lineage: Bacteria; Pseudomonadati; Pseudomonadota; Gammaproteobacteria; Moraxellales; Moraxellaceae
Description: 16S ribosomal RNA
Rfam family: Bacterial small subunit ribosomal RNA
Source: RNAcentral